Molecule: long non-coding RNA, 339 nt
Organism: Arabidopsis thaliana (thale cress)
Lineage: Eukaryota; Viridiplantae; Streptophyta; Magnoliopsida; Brassicales; Brassicaceae
Product: other RNA
Exons: 1
Source: RefSeq
CACAACCUGUUCCGGAUUUUUCUCAAAGGUUGAACUUUCAAAAGUUGUAAGAAAAAACUGAUUCAUGUGACUUAGAACAUGACACGAACUAAUAAGGUUACCAACACUGUGAAACCUUUCUUCCUUGUCCAUUCAAUCAUUGCCUCUUUCACUGCAGGAAAUGGUCCACGCCACCACAAUUUGCCUACAAUAAUAAAUAAGUACUUAUAUACAAAAUGACAAGCAAAUUAUGUAAUAUAAAGACCUAUUUUAUACACAAAUUUACAGAGAACUGAAACUUAGAAACAAUAGUCACUUUAAGACCAACUAUUGGACCGUGAAACAGUUACCACCCCAGUG